Molecule: ribosomal RNA, 515 nt
Filed under: uncultured bacterium
Lineage: Bacteria
Description: partial 16S ribosomal RNA
Rfam family: Bacterial small subunit ribosomal RNA
Source: RNAcentral
GAUGAACGCUGGCGGCGUGCCUAAUACAUGCAAGUCGAGCGAAUGGAUUGAGAGCUUGCUCUUAUGAAGUUAGCGGCGGACGGGUGAGUAACACGUGGGUAACCUGCCCAUAAGACUGGGAUAACUCCGGGAAACCGGGGCUAAUACCGGAUAACAUUUUGAACCGCAUGGUUCGAAAUUGAAAGGCGGCUUCGGCUGUCACUUAUGGAUGGACCCGCGUCGCAUUAGCUAGUUGGGGAGGUAACGGCUCACCAAGGCAACGAUGCGUAGCCGGCCUGAGAGGGUGACCGGCCACACUGGGACUGAGACAUGGCCCAGACUCCUACGGGAGGCAGCAGUAGGGAAUCUUCCGCAAUGGACAAAAGUCUGACGGAGCAACGCCGCGUGAGUGAUGAAGGCUUUCGGGUCGUAAAACUCUGUUGUUAGGGAAGAACAAGUGCUAGUUGAAUAAGCUGGCACCUUGACGGUACCUAACCAGAAAGCCACGGCUAACUACGUGCCAGCCGCCGCCGUAA